Molecule: ribosomal RNA, 482 nt
Filed under: uncultured bacterium
Lineage: Bacteria
Description: partial 16S ribosomal RNA
Rfam family: Bacterial small subunit ribosomal RNA
Source: RNAcentral
AUUGAACGCUGGCGGCAUGCUUUACACAUGCAAGUCGAACGGUAACAGGCCGCAAGGUGCUGACGAGUGGCGAACGGGUGAGUAAUGCAUCGGAACGUGCCCAGUCGUGGGGGAUAACUACUCGAAAGAGUAGCUAAUACCGCAUACGAUCUAUGGAUGAAAGCGGGGGACCGUAAGGCCUCGCGCGAUUGGAGCGGCCGAUGUCAGAUUAGGUAGUUGGUGGGGUAAAGGCUCACCAAGCCAACGAUCUGUAGCUGGUCUGAGAGGACGACCAGCCACACUGGGACUGAGACACGGCCCAGACUCCUAAGGGAGGCAGCAGUGGGGAAUUUUGGACAAUGGGCGCAAGCCUGAUCCAGCAAUGCCGCGUGCAGGAAGAAGGCCUUCGGGUUGUAAACUGCUUUUGUACGGAACGAAACGGCUCUGGUUAAUACCCGGGGCUAAUGACGGUACCGUAAGAAUAAGCACCGGCUAACUACGUG